This 293-nucleotide ribosomal RNA is filed under the name uncultured bacterium. Its description in RNAcentral is "partial 16S ribosomal RNA". It matches the Rfam family "Archaeal small subunit ribosomal RNA", at positions 455 to 747 of the family's 1478-position model. The record is from RNAcentral.
GUGCCAGCCGCCGCGGUAAUACCGGCAGCCCGAGUGAUGGCCGAUAUUAUUGGGCCUAAAGCGUCCGUAGCUGGCCGAACAAGUCCGUCGGGAAAUCCACCCGCCCAACGGGUGGGCGUCCGGUAGAAACUGGCCGGCUUGGAACCGGAAGGCUCAGAGAGUACGUCCGGGGUAGGAGUGAAAUCCCGUAAUCCCGCACGGACCACCGAUGGCGAAAGCACUUCGAGAAAACGGAUCCGACAGUGAGGGACGAAAGCCAGGGUCUCCAACCGGAUUAGAAACCCUUGUAGUCC